AGAUUGGAGGCUGCUAUGGUGACAAACACACAUGCACACACGCUGUAUGUAAUAAGACAGAACAGACUGCAGUCAUCACAUUCAGUUAUCACUCCUGAACAGCAACCUGAUCACAUGUGACUGUGCUUUUCCCUAAAUUGUCAUCAGCCUAAGGAACAUGUUGUUACAGCUACAUGGAAAUCUGUGCACAAUUUUAAAAUAGAUAUUUGGAACACCAAGAAGUUGGUGGAGUCACAGCAGUCUCUGAAUGAGCUUCCACUCUGCUCUGAACCUAACCAUGACACCAGUGUUGGUCUGGGGGGCUGGAGUUGCGUCUGCCUCGGCACUGCCCCUGCCACAGCUCCUUUGGGACUCACCAGUAUUCCCCAGUGCUCCCACACUGUCAGUUCAUCUGCUCAGGGUGGUCCUCAAAAAAAAAAAAAAAAA
This is a long non-coding RNA of Cygnus olor (mute swan), 426 nucleotides long. RefSeq lists it as uncharacterized. The record is from RefSeq and is a predicted model, not a curated record. The transcript has 3 exons. NCBI's taxonomy places the organism in Eukaryota, Metazoa, Chordata, Aves, Anseriformes, Anatidae.